CACAAUCACCUUCACUACGGAUCGUCGGGCACGUACCUGCCCGUGAAAGGGACAUAU
Molecule: non-coding RNA, 57 nt
Organism: Nesterenkonia sp. AN1
Lineage: Bacteria; Bacillati; Actinomycetota; Actinomycetes; Micrococcales; Micrococcaceae
Source: Rfam